CACAUUUUGUGGCACUUUGGUUCAAAGUCACUUUGUGCGGACGUAGACGGGGGUGCGGGGGGUCGUUUAUUGGACUUGGCGGUCUGAGUGUGUCAAAAUAAACCCGUGGACGACAACAGACGCCACUGUGAGGACGACAGAUGUCCAUAUACACACAAACACUCACGCGCAGCUUGCUGUUGUUGGGACUCCAACGUGCAAGGUCACGAGGACGAUGAGCGUUUUAACAGUCGAGCCGAGAAAAGAUUUCUCAUCGAUUUGGGCCCAGUCGCACUGCAGGGAAGCUCGCAAGAAUGCACGCAAAGCAUCAUCAUUUCAAGUUUUCUCAGAUUUUCUUCCAAAAUAAACAACGACAAUAAUUCUCCCGUCU
Hippocampus comes (tiger tail seahorse) is the source of this 370-nucleotide long non-coding RNA. RefSeq lists it as uncharacterized. NCBI's taxonomy places the organism in Eukaryota, Metazoa, Chordata, Actinopteri, Syngnathiformes, Syngnathidae. The transcript has 2 exons. The record is from RefSeq and is a predicted model, not a curated record.